UUUGAUUAAUUCUGAAAAUUU
Molecule: non-coding RNA, 21 nt
Filed under: Caenorhabditis elegans
Lineage: Eukaryota; Metazoa; Nematoda; Chromadorea; Rhabditida; Rhabditidae
Source: RNAcentral